ACACUUCAAUCACCACUUGCUCAUUCCCUCCUCUUCAAUGGGUUGCUCAAUCUUCAGCCCUAAAGUUGAGAGCUCCAAGGCAGAUUGGGAGCUCAUCGUCUUCAAAUUUUGGUGCCUCUCUCUCGCUGUAAUCGAUCUCCGUAAUCAACCUGGAUGUCCAAAGGGUGUCACACCUAAGUACAACUUGAAGCCUCUUGUGCCAAUGCUGUUUGAUAUAAAACAUGACAUUGAUGUUGAGGAAAUGCUUUUUUAGAUAUUCUCUUUGAAGAAACUGUUGUUAUUUUUCAUUUGAACGGUUACUACUUUGAUUUGAAUUUGGAAACUUUCAGUUUUAAUUUUUGUAAAAUUUUACUUUUUAUAUACUCAUUGUGGUUUGGGAAUAAAAUGUUUUUGAUGUGUGGAUGUCAA
This is a non-coding RNA of Camellia sinensis, 408 nucleotides long. The record is from RefSeq and is a predicted model, not a curated record. NCBI's taxonomy places the organism in Eukaryota, Viridiplantae, Streptophyta, Magnoliopsida, Ericales, Theaceae.